GUUGAAGGAACGCAGCGAAAUGCGAUAAGUAGUGUGAAUUGCAGAAUUCAGUGAAUCAUCGAAUCUUUGAACGCACAUUGCGCCCCUUGGUAUCCCGAGGGGCAUGCCUGUUCGAGCGUCAUUUCACCACUCAAGCCUGGCUUGGUGUUGGGCGACGUCCUCUUUGGGGACGCGCCUCGAAACGCUCGGCGGCGUGGCACCGGCUUUAAGCGUAGCAGAAUCUUUCGCUUUGGAAGUCGGGGCCCCGUCUGCCGGAAGACCUGCUCGCAAGGUUGACCUCGGAUCAGGCAGGGAUACCCGCUGAACUUAAGCAUAUCAAUAAGCGGAGGA
This 330-nucleotide unclassified non-coding RNA is filed under the name soil metagenome. RNAcentral's name for it is "partial contains 5.8S ribosomal RNA, internal transcribed spacer 2, and large subunit ribosomal RNA". The stretch from base 1 to 121 matches the Rfam family "5.8S ribosomal RNA", at positions 35 to 154 of the family's 154-position model. The record is from RNAcentral.